GACUGGAUAGCCUAGUGGUAGAGGCAUCACAUUGACAAUGCUGAGGUCCCAGGUUCAAAUCCUGGUCUAGUCA
Molecule: transfer RNA, 73 nt
Filed under: Cronartium ribicola 11-2
Lineage: Eukaryota; Fungi; Basidiomycota; Pucciniomycetes; Pucciniales; Coleosporiaceae
Description: tRNA-Val (GAC) (tRNA-Val-GAC-41-1)
Rfam family: tRNA
About the family: Transfer RNA (tRNA) molecules are approximately 80 nucleotides in length. Their secondary structure includes four short double-helical elements and three loops (D, anti-codon, and T loops).
Source: RNAcentral